UCCACUCUCACCGCUAGCUAUAGCCACCUCCACCCUCACCGCUAGCUAUAGCCGCCUCCACCCUCAGCUGUACUGCACUAAAGGCAAGCAGACAGGACAGACCACAGCAGACCCAGCCAGGGCCUAACAUGUUCAGCAGCUUUAGGACAUUGAUACAUUAGAAAGAGGGAGAAGGACUGGACUUGUGCCUUGUCUAUUGGCCAAAUGACAAUAGCUUACAGGUACUGUUCUGUGCUGAUAGGGUUAGCAUCAGAGCUUGAUAAUAAAAGUGACAAUUAAGUGUUGUGGGUAGGGGGGAUACAGCUUUAAGAAUAAGAAGUCAAAAAUGCGACAGGACUGCAUACGAGCAGUGUAUCGGGUAAUAUAAAUUACAUCGAAAGCGUUUUGUUCGUUCGUUUGACAUAAAGCACUUGUAGUUCACUCAUCCACACAUUCUCUGUCUGUGGAAUCCUCCAGCGUCGGUUUGGGGGGUCAUUUCACCCACUGAAGGGGGUGCGUACGAUUUCAUGCGUCAGACUUUCUAGCGCCGCCCUUCUGGCACGCGUACUACUCUCAGCCGCAGGGCUCUACUCGCCUCUGGUACGUCACCGCAGGGCUCUACUCCCCUUUGGACGUCACCGCAACACAAGACAUGGAGGUGAGGAGUGAACCACUAUUUAAUGCCCUAGUUACCGUAGAGGCCGCCUCCCUAGUGCCCUAGUUACAGUAGAGGCCGACUCCCUAGUGCCCUAGUUACCGUAGAGGCAGACUCCCUAGUUACAGUAGAGGCCGACUCCCUAGUGCCCUAGUUACAGUAGAGGCAGACUCCCUAGUGCCCUAGUCACCGUAGAGGCUGACUCCCUAGUGCCCUAGUUUCAGAAGAGGCAGACUCCCUAGUUACAGAAGAGGCUGACUCCCUAGUGCCCUAGUUACAGAAUAGGCUGACUCCCUAGUGCCCUAGUUACAGAAGAGGCUGACUCCCUAGUGCCCUAGUUACAGAAGAGGCAGACUCCCUAGUGCCCUAGUUACAGUAGAGGCCGACUCCCUAGUGCCCUAGUUACAGAAGAGGCUGACUCCCUAGUUAUAGAAGAGGCAGACUCCCUAGUGCCCUAGUUACAGUAGAGGCAGACUCCCUAGUUACAGAAGAGGCAGACUCCCUAGUGCCCUAGUUACCGUAGAGGCAGACUCCCUAGUGCCCUAGUUACAGAAGAGGCAGACUCUCUAGUGCCCUAGUUACCGUAGAGGCAGACUCCCUAGUGCUCUAACAAGGCUGCUAACUUUAAGAAAUCAGAAGUAAAUCACUUUCCCUCAAUCAAAGCAUACAUUCAUGAUCGGUUAGAGUUAGAUAAAAUCAACACACACACACACACACACACACACACACACACAUACAUACAUUAUACAUACAUACAGACGUAGCUAGCAGAGCAACAGUUAGUGGGUUAGCGACUCAAUAACCCCUUAUUCCAGGUUAUAUUGUGAGUUGACCCCACCAACGUAUCAAUUGUCACAUAAUGAGAUUAAUUGAUGGUAAAGUGAAAGUGUAAAACACUGUUAUGGUGAUCUAAAGUCAUGUGCAUGGGCAAACGCAGUUCAGCUGUUCUUGGACAGGAAAGCAAAUUAACAAUAGCACUUGCACUUUUAAACGGUUGCUCAGCAAAGAGGUUGAUUUUUUUUUUCUGAAACAUCAACAUUUUGUCACUGGCAAACAUAAUUGUUUUUAUCGUCUCUAUGAUAGCAACUGUACAUUUCUAAGUUUAUUCAUCCAGUACAACACAAGUUUGAUUUAUAUUUGAUUAUCUCUAUGAAACAGUGGACGAAUCCUUCCUAUGAUUCAGUAGUACAUUUUACACUGGAAAUGAUCAAUCAGUAUUAGCACAUCUAGCUAGUCACGGCUACACAGAGUCCUCUCAGAAGUAAAUGUGGAACACGGAUAGGUUCAGUCUACCCUGCUCAGUUCUACAUGGCUCUCCCUCACGUCACAUCACGGCUUGUUGUCGCGGUGACGCAGUGUGCCGCGGCACCCUUAAGACACCAUCAGCAGAGGUGUGUGUGGUGGAGGCACUGAGCGUUCGAUCUGGCAGAGAAAAACAGUCAUUGUUGAUGAAGCACCAGUUUGAAUUGCAAUAGUUGAAGAGAGAAUUAUUGAGCAUUACUUUUGAGGUGACCCUGGAAGCUUUCAUUGGCAUGAAAAGAAAAGAAAAGAAAAAAAGUCUACACACAAAUAUUCCUGACAAAAAUAGGAUUUAUGCUAUUCACAUUUCAGCUUUAGAUUUAACAUUUUAACAUCCCUCAGAAACAUCCCUCAGAGCAGAAGAGAAACCACUGGCUGCUGUUCAGGACGUGGCCUGAGAUGAUGAUUUAACAUCCCUCAGAAACAUCAUUCAGAGCAGGUUGCUGUUCAGGACGUGGCCUGAGAUGAUGAUUUAACAUCCCUCAGAAACAUCUCAGAAACAGAAGCGAAACCACUGGCUGCUGUUCAGGACGUGGCCUGAGAUGAUGCCCAGAAAACAAACUAAGAAAAGGCAGUAACUCCACUUUACAGACAAAGUGGAAGAAGGCCAACAAGGCAGGUAGAAUGCCUUAGUUCACCUAAUGCCAGACUAGAUAAGUUGCAUUCUGUGUCCAGGACCCCUAGUGUAUGUGUGUGUGUGUGUGUGUGUGUGUGUGUGUGUGUGUUUGUGUGUGUGUGUGUUCUGUGUCCAGGACCCCUGGUGUGUUUGGGUUCAGUAGCACACGAAGGAAAGGAGAGAGAGAGUAGAGUGGAGUAUAGGGGACGGCCUGUUCUCUAGACUGAGCUCUGUGUGUGUGUGUGUGUGUGUGGUGUAUAGGGGACGGCCUGUUCUUUAGACUAGGCUCUGUGUGUGUGUGUGUGUGGAGUAUAGGGGACGGCCUGUUCUUUAGACUAAGCUAUGUGUGUGUGUGUGUGUGUGUGUGUGUGUGUGUGUGUGUGUGUGUGUGUGUGUGUGUGUGGAGUAUAGGGGACGGCCCGUUCUCUAGACUGAUGCUGUGGCUGGACGCCUCUCUGAGGGCAGCUACCAAGAUGGCGACUAACUGUGGCUGGGACUCGGCCUACACCUGGCCCAAUCAGCCGUUACCUGGGCAGUCUCUGGACCAAUCAGCCGUUACCUGGGCAGUCUCUUGACCAAUCAGCCGUUACCUGGGCAGUCACGAGAAGAAGCGAGAGAAGUGUGUGUGUCGUUCUCGGCAGGCCUGUGGCCCUCACGUUCUCACACUGGACAGAACACUGUGCUUUCCUAAGGGGAACCGCACUGAGGUCCCAUCAUUACUGUGUCUUUUGAACCAAAUGGAUUUGGAUAGAAUCAUACUACUCUGAAGGCAAUGACGUAAAAUCUAUAUAAAAAUCGAAAUAAAAUAUACCAAAGCAAAAUAGUGUCGUUGCUUAAACAUAUGUGCCUAAUUUGUCAAUAUUUUGAGGUAUAUUUUGUAGAAAGAAAGAACCCUGUGUUAGAUCUCUUUUUUCGGGACGCAGUCUAAACGUUUUAAAGAUGCCCUGGCCUUUCCGGAACUCUGUGUUCCCAAGGUGUCUUUCAGCCUUUAAACCCAUUGCAGUGCCCACUAUGUCCAGUUGGGGGCACCAUACACCUCUCUAUUGAUAUAUCGCACUGCCAGCACACAGCCCAAAAGAAGCCUUUAUUUGGCCUAUAAAAGACAGUACAGAUUUGGCAGGAGUUGUUAUAUGCACCAAAAGUAGUUCUACUGAGUAAAAAAAGUAAUUUGUUUAAGUGCAUUUGAAACAGUGAGUGAGAGUUAUGCUGCUGGAAACCCCUCUAAAUCCGGAAGAGCUUAGGCCAGAUGUCGGUGGCGUACGGACCUUUUAGACUCGAGAGAUUACUGAGCCCUCACCAGCGGUGCCCCUCACCAACGGUGCCCCGCACGGCAGCCGAGUCCUGUCUGGACCUGGCACAGGGCGGCUGCCGGCCCGGUGUGUGAGGCGCCAUGCCAGUGUGAGCUUUGUGGUUUACGGUGACGUGUGUGUCACACUGUCAGGGAUGCGGAACGGAACACAGAGAGGCAGAAACGUCACCAAUCGAGGGUCUGGGUUCAAAGGGCAUUCUUACACUUCCACAGAGUGACAAACAUUUGUGAUUUUACUUCCCAAUUAGUUGUUGCUCAGGUUUCUGGGCCUCACUGUGCAUUGUUGGACUAUCUACUUAAAUUUGGACUCGAGUCAAACAGCAUCAUAGCCUUUGGCCCCCAGCCCUGCGGAAAAGGCCCUUUGGCCCCCAGCCCUGCGGAUAAGCCCCUGGCCCUAUUCAAGACUGCAGAGUAGAACUUGCCUAAUCCCCUCCCUUUGGUGACCAAUAACACAUCACACACACACACCAAAAUUCACUCACCAAACACACACACACACACGCGCGGGGGUAACACACCAUCUGCCACGGGUUAUCACCCUCUUACAGGUUAUUACUUUCCUAAAGCUUUCAGUCUCUCUCCCCUCCACACACACACACACACACACACACACACACAGAUCUUACAGACUGUCCAUCCCAACUCCAUCCUAAAACUCUGAUCAGAUGUAACCCUGGCAACCAUCAGAGGGCGUUUGCAUCACUCUAGCGUGUGUGAGUCUGGGUCGGGUCGGGGCUGGUGCUGGCGCUGGCGCUGGUCGGGCUCAGAGCAGGGCUCCGUAGUCGGGCCGGUGGAGGUCCAUGCUGGCCAACAGGGCCUUGCGCUCCUCGGGGGGCGGUUGAGGCUGGGGCAGGGGCAGGGGCAGAGACAGGGGCAGCAGGGAUGCGAGCUGCCGGUAUGGGGCCUUCCUCCGCUCCCACAGUGCCAGCGGACUCCUCUUCCUCCUCUUCUUCUUCGGGUGAACGCUGGGGUCCUCGGGGGCCUCGGAGGCAUGAGACACACUCGGCUGCUGGGUCUGAGAGCUACGCACAUCUGAAACAAACACACACAUACACACACACACAUACACACACACACACACACGAACAUACACAUAUGUACACACAUACAUAUGCAUGUUCACUCACACACACAUACACACACACACACACACAGAAAUGACACAUUAACCAUCAAUCUGAAACAAUCUGAGCAUUCACCAGAGUAAUUGUAUUGUAUUGACAUAUCAUAGCAUUGAGCUCAUUCAUACAGUAUGUCCACUAUAGCGCUUAGAUAAAUGCAGCUCCUCAAUCCUGUUUUAACCAGGAUCUCACUCUCACAGAGAACUUAUCCAGAGAGUUCUCAGUCUAUAGCAGAACUUAUCCAGAGAGUUCUCAGUCUUAAACAGAACUAAUGCAGAGAGUUCUCAGU
Molecule: long non-coding RNA, 5268 nt
Organism: Clupea harengus (Atlantic herring)
Lineage: Eukaryota; Metazoa; Chordata; Actinopteri; Clupeiformes; Clupeidae
Source: Ensembl